AGAGUUUGAUCAUGGCUCAGGAUGAACGCUAGCGGCAGGCCUAAUACAUGCAAGUCGAACGGGCCGGAGUAGCAAUACUUCGGUUAGUGGCGCACGGGUGCGUAACGCGUAUGCAACCUACCUUUUAUUGGGGGAUAGCCCGAAGAAAUUCGGAUUAAUACCGCAUAAUAUCAUUUGAGGGCAUCUGAAGAUGAUUAAAGCUACGGCGAUAAAAGAUGGGCAUGCGUGACAUUAGCUAGUUGGUGGUGGUAACGGCACACCAAGGCGACGAUGUCUAGGGGUUCUGAGAGGAUGAUCCCCCACACUGGUACUGAGAUACGGACCAGACUCCUACGGGAGGCAGCAGUAGGGAAUAUUGGGCAAUGGCGGAAACGCUGACCCAGCCAUGCCGCGUGCAGGAUGAAGGCCUUCUGGGUUGUAAACUGCUUUUACCAGGGAAGAAAAUACCUUUGCGAAGGGAACUGACGGUACCUGGUGAAUAAGCACCGGCUAACUCCGUGCCAGCAGCCGCGGUAAUACGGAGGGUGCAAGCGUUGUCCGGAUUUAUUGGGUUUAAAGGGUGCGUAGGCGGCUUGAUAAGUCCGUGGUGAAAGCCAACAGCUCAACUGUUGAACUGCCAUGGAUACUGUCAGGCUUGAGUACAGACGAGGUAGGCGGAAUGGAUCGUGUAGCGGUGAAAUGCAUAGAUACGAUCCAGAACUCCGAUUGCGAAGGCAGCUUACUAGGCUGUAACUGACGCUGAGGCACGAAAGCGUGGGGAGCGAACAGGAUUAGAUACCCCUGUAGUCC
Molecule: ribosomal RNA, 789 nt
Filed under: uncultured Adhaeribacter sp.
Lineage: Bacteria; Pseudomonadati; Bacteroidota; Cytophagia; Cytophagales; Hymenobacteraceae
Description: bacterial SSU rRNA
Rfam family: Bacterial small subunit ribosomal RNA
Source: RNAcentral